Molecule: long non-coding RNA, 1079 nt
Organism: Dermacentor silvarum
Lineage: Eukaryota; Metazoa; Arthropoda; Arachnida; Ixodida; Ixodidae
Exons: 7
Source: RefSeq, a predicted model, not a curated record
CACCGUACCACUAGUACGCUCGCCGGCUCACAUAGCAUCCGUUGAGGUUAGGAGGCCGUGGUUCGGCAGGACUCGGCUGCGUAAACACUGCUUCGCUGGAUGGGCCACACAUACAAAGCGUGACCAUUCAAGGUUGGCAUCUGAGAAAGGUGAUUGAGAGCAACAGAAAAGCGGCGACAGUGCAAGCGGGACACAUUAACAUCCAUUCCUACGCACCUAUUUCCAGAAGAUGGUUCGGACCAAGAAACAGGGUACACGUUCGCGCCAGCCGUCGCUCGUUCAUGGAGCUCCAAUCAGCGCCAACCAAGUCAGGUACCUGGAAUUACUGGUUGAAGAUCUGGAAUGCACGGUGGAAUCAACACUCGCCACAAGCCAAGCCAUCGCAGACCGUAUCUGCCGCUACACAGACAUGUGGUAUAACCACAUCAUCCGCACAGUACCCAAGCCUCGUUACCAACUCCAGACAUGUCAAUGGCCCCAGCAUCGUGUUCAAGCUCUGCUGGCUCAUCGCUUGUAGCCAGUAUCUCUGGUGAUGUUGACCCAUCAACCUCUAAACAGCUACAGCGAGCCAAAGUUAUGGCCAGUGUAGAGGCGAAGAAGAAUCGCUGGACCAUCAGCAAUGCAUCGAAGGUGCCGCCGAAAGGGAGCCUGGUAACUCCAAUCAAACACGUCUGCACCGGUGGAAGGGCAUCGGUCAUCACACCUAAGUUUAACAUCCGGCAAGUACAGCUUUUCACUCAAUCAUUGAAAUGAGGGAUUUGCCUAAAACAUUAAAUAGGCACUGAUUUCAGCCUUAGCAAAGAAACAAAACGCAGCAUUCUAUAUAUGAGAUGUAUUGUGGUGCGAAGGCACAAUCACGAAGAAGACAUUUAGACAAUGUCGCAGGUGUGUGUGAUGCCCGUGACAUGUCCAUGUGUCUUUGUGUCUUCUUUGCCCAACAAGUCCUCCUGCAGUAUAUUCGAGAUGAUUUGGCAAAGACAUCAAGCAAUUAUAAAAGAAGUAUAGUAGAGGUAGAACAAUCAUCUUUUUGCAGCUUGACAUACUUUACCCUGGCGUACAUUAAUAUUGCAUUAAUCAUG